RNAcentral lists this long non-coding RNA (1566 nucleotides) under Homo sapiens (human). RNAcentral describes it as "PREDICTED lncRNA (TCONS_00264027)". The record is from RNAcentral. Lineage: Eukaryota; Metazoa; Chordata; Mammalia; Primates; Hominidae.
GACUACCCAGGUGGCUAGCACCUACUUGGAUAAGAAUGUCCUGAGCUUCAAAUCUCUUCCCUGAUAAAAAGAGGGCUGCUGCUCUCAAGGAACUUCAGUCAAGGGGAGUGGGGGAAGACAGUCCCACACACAGACAAAAAACUAGGGGGUGAAAGGCCAAUGAGUGGUGGGAAGGAAAGGGAAAGAAGCUUCCAGAAGGCUAGGGGUAAGAAUGCAGCAGUGAACAUGGUUCCUGCACUCAUGAAGCAAAUGUAUCCACUGUGGUACAAAAGAGACUGUAAAAAACAAACCCAAAUGGACAACAGACCCCAACUCCAGUUUAAAAACGCCACCACUCAACAGCCUGUUUUCUGAGCCUAUGACCACAUAUAUGCUGCAGAACCCUUUCAGGGUGUAUCUGAAACUACUUCUCUUAAAGGCAAGCUGUAACUGGUGCCAGAAAAGACAGAAGCUGAUUGAGGUCCCAGCUUGGUAACAGUUUGAAGAGUUGCAGGACUGGCUGGAUGAGUACUGGCUGCAGCAAAUCAGGCUGCCAGGAUUCUUUAUGGCUGUUUCUGCUUCCACUACAGCUGAGUCAGAAAGGUCGCUGCCCCGUGGUGGCACUAGACGCAGUGGACCUGGCAAGCAAAUGUUUCCGCUAUUAGCUCUCAGCAACAGAGACUCAUUUAUGGUCACCUUGGAAAUCUGGGCUUAUCGAUCUACAGCCCAAGUCUGCUGAGAAGCUGGAGCUUACUAAAGGGGAAACCUGAGAGCUGUUCAAGCCCCAAAUAUUUUCCACUUCUGCGUCACCUCUGCUGUCUGUUAGCAGAGUGGAGGAGAAAAUACACAGCACAAACAACGUGAAAAAAUAGUUACUCUAUUCAUUAAAAGCUGUAACUUCCAGAUUGGACUUGAGAAGCAAUUAAGCAACAGAGGAACCUCAUCUACUAUCUGUAUUCAGGCAUGCUCAUGAGAACACGCUGCUCCAGCUGGACUUAGAGGAACCCGGUGCAUCACAGGCAUUCCUGACAGAGUCUCGUGGUCCUGCUGGUCCACUCAGUGGUACUCAGUCCUCCUCAUUCUCGGGGAUAGGUUCCAAGACCCCCAGGGGAUGCCUGAAACUGCGGAUGGUGAAAUGCCAUCACAUCCUUCAUACUCAUAUUUUUAGGACCAUAGGAGACCCAAUAUAUCUGUCUGUAUUGCAAUAAAUUACAAGGCUUUGACCAAAGACCCAGUUCCUAACUGACUGCUCUUGAAGCCAGCUCCACUGCAGAAUUAAGGAACAGAGAUGAGACUUGUCUGACAUGGGGAACUGUCACAGGAUAAUACCUUUGAAAAGCCUGGUUUUAGAACUUGCCUCUCUCAAUUUGAGGCAGUGUAUGUUUUUAAGUUUCUAAAAAUAAGAUAUUAUAAGAUUUGUAACAUUACAAUGACUGCCAAUGCAAAGAACCUCUGGGACUCUAGUGCAUCAGUGGAAUAUCAGCACAUUGAUGGACAUGUGGACUAUUUGGAUUCAGAAGACCUGGUUUGAGCUCAUCUCUGCUGCCAACUGUCUGUGUGACCUUAAGUAAAAUUAUCUCCUCUCUC